This 440-nucleotide ribosomal RNA is filed under the name uncultured bacterium. RNAcentral describes it as "bacterial SSU rRNA". It matches the Rfam family "Bacterial small subunit ribosomal RNA", at positions 355 to 796 of the family's 1533-position model. The record is from RNAcentral.
UGGGGAAUCUUGCGCAAUGGCCUAACGGCUGACGCAGCGACGCCGCGUGAGGGAUGAAGCUUUUCGGAGUGUAAACCUCUGUUGCCCGGGACGAAUAGCGGAUUAUUCCGACUUGACGGUACCGGGUGAGGAAGCACCGGCUAACUCCGUGCCAGCAGCCGCGGUAAUACGGGGGGUGCGAGCGUUGUCCGGAAUCACUGGGCGUAAAGGGCGCGUAGGUGGCGUCGUAAGUUUGUGGUGAAAGCCUGGGGCUCAACCCCAGGUCUGCCGCGAAUACUGCGAGGCUUGAGUACUGUAGAGGCAGGUAGAAUAUCGGGUGUAGCGGUGGAAUGCGUAGAGAUCCGAUAGAAGACCGGUGGCGAAGGCGGCCUGCUGGGCAGUAACUGACACUGAGGCGCGACAGCGUGGGGAGCAAACAGGAUUAGAUACCCCCGUAGUCC